This 206-nucleotide unclassified non-coding RNA is filed under the name Hevea brasiliensis (rubber tree). Lineage: Eukaryota; Viridiplantae; Streptophyta; Magnoliopsida; Malpighiales; Euphorbiaceae. The record is from RNAcentral.
CACCUUCCUUGGUAAGUACAAAGCCUGGCCACUUAUCAGUUGCACUCAUUUCCUCCGACAGAGCUAGAAAAUAAUAUAAGUUGCAAUAUACAUCCAAAUAUGGCUCAGAGCUUCCAACCAUCAUUGACUUAUGCUGUUUGACAGUUUCCACAUCAGGAAAUAUUAUCUUUGUUAUGGUCUCAAGAUACCCUUCGGAUCCUGCUUCC